Molecule: ribosomal RNA, 927 nt
Filed under: Triticum aestivum (bread wheat)
Lineage: Eukaryota; Viridiplantae; Streptophyta; Magnoliopsida; Poales; Poaceae
Description: partial small subunit ribosomal RNA
Source: RNAcentral
AUGAAAAUAACAUACUUCCAUACAUAUAAUCCCAUUUCAAAUUUGACAUAUCAUCACAACUUCACAAGAGCAAAAGCCAGCUCGUGGUCACCACACACACACGGACACACGGGCGAUGUCAGUCACACGCUCUUCUUGUUGUUGAGGAGCUCGGCGAAGCAGGAGGCGAAAGCUUCCAUGGCGUCCGGCGGCAGCACCACGCCGACCUCGACGCCGCCCAGGCCGUCGGGGCUCUCGGCCAGGGACACCGUGCCGGGGGUCAUCUCGAUGGACACCAUGUCCACCCUGCACGGCUUCCCCCACCCGAAGUCCGUGCCCUCGUACACGCCGUGCCGCGGCGACCCGCCCACCGACAUGGGCCGCUGCGGCAGCACCGACAUCACCUGUCCCAGCCAACCCUCCGCGCCCUCCAGCACGCCCCGCUCCAUCUCCCUGAUCGCCGCCCCGAUGGCCGCAGCAGCCACCGCCACGCCGCCCGCGUCGUCGGUCGUCAUCAGGUCCGACGUCGCGGCCUCCACGAAGCACGGCCGCAGGCAGUUGCCGAAGUACUCGGCCGGGAGCGGCGGCGACAGCCUCGACCGGCACUCCGCCGAGAAUAGCAUGUGGCUGCGCGCCGCGCCUUCGACGCCCGCGGACCGGCUCCGCAGCAGGCACACCCACGCCAGCGCCGACGCCGCCACGAACGACGACAUGUGCGGUGCGCCCUGCGCCGCGGCCGCGUCCUUGAUCCCGUCGAUCUGGUCGCGCGUCAGCGCGAAGGACGCGAUCACCGGAGACGGAGGCGGAGGCCCCUGCGCUUGCGGGGGCGGAGGCGGAGGUCCGGACGCGAGGCGGCUCAUCCCGGCGAGCGUCUUGCCGAGCAGGUCGUCGGGGUCGGCGACGAGGGAGCGGUCGAGCACGGGCGGCGGCGGCGGGCGGCGGGGCUGA